This 27-nucleotide unclassified non-coding RNA is filed under the name Mus musculus (house mouse). Its description in RNAcentral is "oocyte_clustered_small_RNA10883". Lineage: Eukaryota; Metazoa; Chordata; Mammalia; Rodentia; Muridae. The record is from RNAcentral.
UCCAGAAUAGAUGUUUAUCCUUAUGGA